RNAcentral lists this ribosomal RNA (253 nucleotides) under uncultured bacterium. RNAcentral's name for it is "partial 16S ribosomal RNA". It matches the Rfam family "Bacterial small subunit ribosomal RNA", at positions 524 to 776 of the family's 1533-position model. The record is from RNAcentral.
UACGUAGGGUGCGAGCGUUAAUCGGAAUUACUGGGCGUAAAGCGUGCGCAGGCGGUUCGCUGUGUCCGAUGUGAAAGCCCCGGGCUUAACCUGGGAAUGGCAUUGGAAACUGGCGGGCUUGAGUGCGGCAGAGGGGGGUGGAAUUCCGCGUGUAGCAGUGAAAUGCGUAGAUAUCUGGAGGAACACCGGUGGCGAAGGCGGCAUCCUGGACCGGCAUUGACGCUGAGGCGCGAAAGCCAGGGGAGCAAACGGG